RNAcentral lists this ribosomal RNA (497 nucleotides) under uncultured bacterium. RNAcentral describes it as "partial 16S ribosomal RNA". It matches the Rfam family "Bacterial small subunit ribosomal RNA", at positions 28 to 507 of the family's 1533-position model. The record is from RNAcentral.
GAUGAACGCUGGCGGCGUGCCUAAUACAUGCAAGUCGAGCGAACAGACGAGGAGCUUGCUCCUCUGACGUUAGCGGCGGACGGGUGAGUAACACGUGGAUAACCUACCUACAAGACUGGGAUAACUUCGGGAAACCGGAGCUAAUACCGGAUAAUAUAUUGAACCGCAUGGUUCAAUAGUGAAAGACGGUUUUGCUGUCACUUAUAGAUGGAUCCGCGCCGCAUUAGCUAGUUGGUAAGGUAACGGCUUACCAAGGCAACGAUGCGUAGCCGACCUGAGAGGGUGAUCGGCCACACUGGAACUGAGACACGGUCCAGACGCCUACGGGAGGCAGCAGUAGGGAAUCUUCCGCAAUGGGCGAAAGCCUGACGGAGCAACGCCGCGUGAGUGAUGAAGGUCUUCGGAUCGUAAAACUCUGUUAUUAGGGAAGAACAAAUGUGUAAGUAACUAUGCACGUCUUGACGGUACCUAAUCAGAAAGCCACGGCUAACUACGUG